Molecule: long non-coding RNA, 682 nt
Organism: Poecilia latipinna (sailfin molly)
Lineage: Eukaryota; Metazoa; Chordata; Actinopteri; Cyprinodontiformes; Poeciliidae
Exons: 3
Source: RefSeq, a predicted model, not a curated record
GGUACCUUCAUGUAAUCUUGAACCUUACAUGAUUACCAACAUAGCUGAUUCCUCUUGUGAUGAUCUGGAAGUGCAAAUCAUGCAAGAGACCAAAGCUGAUGGUCCUGACGACCUUUACCACACUUACUCCACCAUCCCUGAUUAGCCUGCUGGUCCAAACUAGAUGUUCUACGAUGAUUAGCUGAAAUAUUUUUUUUCUAUCUAUUAUUGUAAAUAAGAGAACAAACUAAUUGAAAAACCUUUCCUUCUAAGAUCAUAUUUUUAAAGUGUAUAAUUUAGAGAUGACAUUUCAUCCUCCAAGCUUGCAUAUUUUUAUUUUCUGAGGUUAGAUUACAAUUUAUGCAUUUAUGCUAAAUUAAUUGAAGUUAAAUUUUCCUCUGUCUUGUACUUCUUGUUCAACUGUAAUUUCUUGUUUACUUUUUAUAUCUGCUUGUUUUCCUUUCUCUGCUGAAACUGUUAUAAUUCAGUUUAUUUUUGUCUUUUUAAUAAUUGCACAUAAACCUGAUGACAUGCACAAAGAGGAAGCAGCACAAUGUGUAAAGAAGGAAAAUAUUUCUUUAGGUUUUGGGAGUAUUUGCCUUACUUUCUCAAAGUUGAAAUCUGUCAUUGCUUAAAAGGUGAGAUUGGGAGUGCAACCGCUCAAUUUAGGUUGCACUAAAUUGUUCUUCACAGACUAUUUUGA